ACGACUAAUUGCAAUCACCUGGGCGUGCGGGCUGGGGGUCAUGGGUACGUAACUUCCUUCCCGACAAACACAAAAGAAGCUCUCCCAAAUUGUUUGGUACGCAAGUUGCUUGUCGCUGGUCGGUACAAACCGCGCACUUCAUGCUGGGUUUUGGUUGCGAACAACUCCCUCGCUGUGGUCUGGACUGUCAUCUCCUCCCUACUCCUGUUUCCCUGUGACUACCAAUGCGAAUGCUGACCGUGGAGCUGACACACUUCCCUCCUCUGCUCCUGUUCCCCUGGGCUAGCUCGCAUUGUGGAAAAGGCCGAGAUCACAGCUGGCUGUCUAUCACAGUUUGACCACUGUUUUCCCCC
This is a long non-coding RNA of Alosa alosa (allis shad), 353 nucleotides long. RefSeq lists it as uncharacterized. The transcript has 4 exons. NCBI's taxonomy places the organism in Eukaryota, Metazoa, Chordata, Actinopteri, Clupeiformes, Clupeidae. The record is from RefSeq and is a predicted model, not a curated record.